Molecule: ribosomal RNA, 305 nt
Filed under: uncultured bacterium
Lineage: Bacteria
Description: bacterial SSU rRNA
Rfam family: Bacterial small subunit ribosomal RNA
Source: RNAcentral
GCCCACGGGGCGCAGCAGUGGGGAAUAUUGCACAAUGGGGGGAACCCUGAUGCAGCGACGCCGCGUGAGUGAAGAAGUAUCUCGGUACGUAAAGCUCUAUCAGCAGGGAAGAAAAUGACAGUACCUGACUAAGAAGCCCCGGCUAACUACGUGCCAGCAGCCGCGGUAAUACGUAGGGGGCAGGCGUUAUCCGGAUUUACUGGGUGUAAAGGGAGCGGAGACGGCACUGCAAGUCCGGCGUGAAAGCCCACAGCCCAACUGUGGGACUGCUCUGGAAACUGUGGCGCUCGCGUUCGGGAGGUGCG